This 253-nucleotide ribosomal RNA is filed under the name uncultured bacterium. RNAcentral describes it as "partial 16S ribosomal RNA". It matches the Rfam family "Bacterial small subunit ribosomal RNA", at positions 524 to 776 of the family's 1533-position model. The record is from RNAcentral.
UACGAAGGGGGCUAGCGUUGUUCGGAAUUACUGGGCGUAAAGCGCGCGCAGGCGGUUCUUCAAGUCAGAGGUGAAAGCCCAGAGCUCAACUCUGGAAUGGCCUUUGAGACUAGAGAACUUGGGUACGGGAGAGGUGAGUGGAAUUCCGAGUGUAGAGGUGAAAUUCGUAGAUAUUCGGAAGAACACCAGUGGCGAAGGCGGCUCACUGGUCCGGAACUGACGCUGAGGUGCGAAAGCGUGGGGAGCAAACAGG